RNAcentral lists this ribosomal RNA (253 nucleotides) under uncultured bacterium. Its description in RNAcentral is "partial 16S ribosomal RNA". It matches the Rfam family "Bacterial small subunit ribosomal RNA", at positions 524 to 776 of the family's 1533-position model. The record is from RNAcentral.
UACGGAGGAUGCAAGCGUUAUCCGGAAUGAUUGGGCGUAAAGCGUCCGCAGGUGGCAAUGUAAGUCUGCUGUUAAAGAGUCUAGCUCAACUAGAUAAGAGCAGUGGAAACUACAUAGCUAGAGUACGUUCGGGGCAGAGGGAAUUCCUGGUGUAGCGGUGAAAUGCGUAGAGAUCAGGAAGAACACCGGUGGCGAAGGCGCUCUGCUAGGCCGUAACUGACACUGAGGGACGAAAGCUAGGGGAGCGAAUGGG